This 70-nucleotide transfer RNA is filed under the name Amolops larutensis (Larut sucker frog). Its description in RNAcentral is "tRNA-Val". It matches the Rfam family "tRNA". Rfam says of the family: Transfer RNA (tRNA) molecules are approximately 80 nucleotides in length. Their secondary structure includes four short double-helical elements and three loops (D, anti-codon, and T loops). Lineage: Eukaryota; Metazoa; Chordata; Amphibia; Anura; Ranidae. The record is from RNAcentral.
CAAAAUGUAGCUUAACAAAAGCCCCUCGCUUACACCGAAGUAAUAUCUGUUAAACCCGGAUCAUUUUGAG